This 1487-nucleotide long non-coding RNA is filed under the name Vulpes vulpes (red fox). RNAcentral describes it as "lncRNA (ENSVVUG00000023480.1)". Lineage: Eukaryota; Metazoa; Chordata; Mammalia; Carnivora; Canidae. The record is from RNAcentral.
CUGGCUGGUAAUUUUCAGAGUGGGGUAGAGACACUGAUAAUCCCUCACACUACUGUCUAGUUAAUAUUUUUAAGAUUUGAGAGAAAGAGAGAGAGAGAGUGUGUGUGUGUGUGUGUGUGGGUGGGUGGAUGGGUGGGUGGCAGGGGCAGAGGGAGAGGCGGAGAAAGAAUCCUCAAGCAGACUCUCCACUGAGCGUGGAGCCUGACGUGGGGCUCGAUUCCAGGACCCAGAGAUCAUGACCUAAGCCGAAAUUUAGAGUUGGCUGCUUCACCAACUCUGCCACCCAGGUGCCUCUGUCUGGUUAAUAUUUAAUGUGAAGACUCAACAAGUAUUUUUGACCAAAGCAGAAUGGGAAUGGCAAGACUUCUCACCCUUGGCCACAGGCAAUACCGAACUAAUCUCUAAAGAUCUUUCAAGGAUCCCCUUAAAAAGAUGUGCAUGUCAACCUCAGUUAAGAAUCAGAUCCAUAAAUACCUAUUAAACAGGGUGAGGGACACAUCCCAGAAUUGCAAUGAACUCCUGGCUUGCUAUGGACCUGGUCAGAGGCAGCUCCAUGAGGGGAGGAAAUGAGUCACAAUCACCUUGGAAUCCUCACACUCACCAUUGUGUCUGGUACAUACUAUGUAUGUGAUCAAUCUUGCAAAAAUGAAGGAAGACCUUAUUUAGGUGUCUGCCCAGCCAAGGAUGCCCAGAGCAGAUGUCCUCCGCAUGCACCAGUCCACCGCGCUGAUAAACUCCAGAAAGACGCAAGGCCCACCUUAGCCAGUUUACACACAUGGUGUCUGAUCUUUGCAAAACCUGGCUUCCCUGACCAUUACCUUCCUUCUUCACAGGGUUUCAGCUCUCUCUGUGUUGAAGGAAAUUAACACAAAAUAAGUUGAUCUUGAUGAGUAGGAUUCAAAUCAAUAAUGUUAAUUGGGCUCCUGAGCAUAAGAUAAAAUGACUUCAAAUCAACAAAAGGUUAAUAUAACUUUCCCUUCAUGCUGCACUACCUAUGAUAAAUCUAUAGUGGUCUGAAAUUUCCAAUAUCAUUAACAACACAUUUAACAUGCUAAAAAGACGGGAACACUCUCCUUACAUAAUAUUUUCUCUGUGCCCACCAGCAGGUUAACUCACUAUUACAAAGCAUAUCCAAUUAUGUAAUUAAGUUAUACUUGAAUAAGGGAGGGAUGUACUCAAUGGUGAGGAUUUCUUUUAAACUUUAAUUUCAUUACUGUCUUCAUGUUCUACCUACUUCCCCCUCCCAAUGGCAGUUUAUAGAAUUACUGGAUAUUUUCUUUUACAGCCUAUUUCAUACUAGAUGAUGUUAGCUAGCAAAGAAAAAAAAUCAUUCAGCAUUCUUAUUGUGCACAUGCAACAUGCAGGGAUCCAACAGAAAACAUAACGUCCUCUAGGACUUCACAACCUGCUGGUCUUCCCUAAGCUGAAUCCAAAGUGAAAUUUAGAAGCUUUAUUUCCCAGUUGAGGUCAAGAAAUCAGUUCGACAC